Molecule: long non-coding RNA, 333 nt
Organism: Vigna unguiculata (cowpea)
Lineage: Eukaryota; Viridiplantae; Streptophyta; Magnoliopsida; Fabales; Fabaceae
Source: RefSeq, a predicted model, not a curated record
CCCACUCUCUCUCUAAUACCCUCUCAUUCCUUUACUCUUUCUCUGCCUUCUCUCUACCAAAUUCACCCAAAGAAUUUCUGCAGUAGGUCUAAUCCUCUUCCCUGUUGCAGAAUUUAGGGCUGAAGCAAGAUCAGAACCACUUCCCCAAGCUGAGUCUUCCUUUCCUACGCUGCCUUAGGUUGGGAGUUUGAGGUAUUCUCUUUGGUUGAAGAGUCAAUUCUAGUGGAAAUUCCAAAGGGCCAAGUCCAGAUGAUGAUGCCCCUCUCUCUAGCAGGAGCUGAGUGAUCGCUGAAUAGUUCCAUGGUAGUUCUCAUGGAUUAGAUACCAUGUAGU